Molecule: long non-coding RNA, 2628 nt
Organism: Haemorhous mexicanus (house finch)
Lineage: Eukaryota; Metazoa; Chordata; Aves; Passeriformes; Fringillidae
Exons: 4
Source: RefSeq, a predicted model, not a curated record
GCUUGACAUUUAGAUACUAUUAAUGAGCACAAGUAAAAGAAUAAAAUUCUAGCAAAUGCGGGUGAUUUCAGUAAUUGGAACAGUAAUGAUUCAAAUUUCAUUUUAUAUUUACAUGUUUAUCACUCAUGUGAAGCUUUCUAAAGGAAGCUGCAAAGCCAGACACCAAAUUAAAAGUAGUUGGUUGGCUUUCUGAAAGAGACACUGCCUGGAAAUCACUAGACAGGAGAAGCUUAGGCCCAGCCCAUGAAUCCAGGUUUCUGGCCUCCCCACAGUGUCAUUGAAUUCCAGGUCAGAAGUUAGAGGAGGAUAAACUCUCCUGUGGACAUGGAUUUGUGAUUUGUGCAUGUGUCAUUGCUUAUGCAGCCCCUCUGUGAUUGGGAAUAAUUUCUCAGUUUCUCCUUGUAGAAGAUGAAAACAAUGGCAAUUGCUUAACUAUUUGGAAGCUGAAAGACUCUGAAAACAGGAGCUGUGGAGCUGUGUCCUGCAGCCUGUUUCCUUGCAUGGAAAAGACUGGAUCCCGACUGCUGUGUGCAGUGUGGUGUGUGACAAUAGCCUUGAGAGACAUUGCUGGCAAGAUCUCUGCCCCUAGGGAAUAGAGGACACCUUCCAGACCUGCAUCCUGAGAAAGCAAAGCACUGGCCUCACCCCAGCAUGGCAGUGGCACAUGAGAUGGUGUGGACACUCACUGCAGGCACAUGAGAUGGUGUGGAAGGCUCGCUGCUCAGAUGUUGUGAGCAGACUUUCUUCCUCUGUGUCUUCAGAGGUGGAGGACUGAGAGCUCUGUGUCCAGCUUGCAACAAACUCAGUAUGAACAAGUGUGGGGGUGUCUGCUUUCCUUUCUCAAGCAAACUAACUGGUGUAGCUGGAAGAGUGAACUGAGGCCAGUAACAGCUUUAGUCUCUGUCCUACCAUGCCUGAGAUGCUGUGUAGUCUGUUGGGAAGGCAGUGUGGAUUUUCUCUGUGGCCUUUUUUGUGAGUUUUGGACUAUUCCCUUUCCCUUUGAGAGCAGCUAUCUAGUUUUCUGGCAGUGAGUGUACAAGCAGGAAGGAUAGAAAUGGAGAGCAACUAUGGAACAUAUCAUUAUUAAAAAGCCUCUCAAAAUCCUUAGGUCAUUUGCACCUUAUGUGUGAAUCCUCUUAGUUUUUGUUCUGCUGGAAUUGAUAGAUGUUGACCCAAAAUACUUUCAUUUCCAAACCUGCUGUAAGUAGCACUUUAAUUGCACACUCCAAUUAUCUGUCUCAGAGAAAGCUGGAGAAGUAGCUGUGGGUACAAAACCUCCACCACUCAGCCAGUAACAGUGAUCACAAGUGGGACGUAGGAUGGGAGAACAUUGGAGGCCCUGAUAUGAGGACUGAAACCCAGUAGCUGUGCAGGGCUCUUCAAAAUGCUUUCAAGCUCUUCAGAGGUGCUUCAGGAGACUGGCAGCUUCAACCAGCAUGGUGUGUUUCAGGGGAUUCAGAAAUUCUGAUGAAUAUUGGAAAAAUACACAAGAUUACCCUCUUCAACGUUAUUCACCAUAGACUGGCUGGACUAAAGGACUAGAUAGCAGAGUUAAUUUGUAUGUUAACCUCUGCAGAAAUGUGAGGCUGAAGUGUCUUCUACUCCUGAAUGUUCAUCAUCACAAUUUUCAGGUGGCCUUUGGAAGCACUAGUGAAUAUAUCCUCAAAGAAGCACUAUAAUCCUCUUUUGCAGGUGAGGAACAGAGGCAAAAAGAUUCCAUGAUUUAAUGAAGAUCACGGAGCAGGUAUAAAUCCUGGAUUGGCUAAGGAUCAUUAAUGCAUCUGCAUGAGCAUUGCAGUCCACUCAGAAUUUCACUUCUGACUGAAACUCCUGCUAGUCCCCUCCUCCAGGGACAUGGUUGCCACCAAGGAAUCAUGUUGGCUGGCAUAGGCCACACUCCUUUCACGUGGACAGAGCAAGCAGAGCGUGUUCCUGUUUCUGGUGGGUGUCAAGUCCUCAGAGGCAGAAUAAAGCUGGUAUGGAGAAAACACCCUGAACAUUAAUCUGCUCCUCCUGCACUCUGUUUGCUAAGGGAGGCUGCUUCAGUGCUCCCCUAGCAUCAGCAAUGUCAGUGCAAGCUCAGACUUUGAGUGUGAAAGGCAAGUCAGAGUAAUGAGAUCACUAAUGGCUGGUUGUUGGAAGCACGCUGCCCCCUGACUUUGAUCUUGCUGAGGGAUCACCAGCAGGCAAGCCUCCACUCAGAGAGUGCCAGUGCCAUCCUGCCAGAGCCUGGGUUUCAUGCUUAGCAGCUAUGGAGAACCAGCUGAUCUAGUUCAAUUGCUUGAACAGACCCUAAACCACAAAGUACACAAAUGAAACUGGAGUGUGUUUCCUGGGUAAAUACUGUUUAAUCAAUAGGGAAACUAGAGCUCUGGUGAGUUUGCUGAUUUGGUUUUGGUAGCCUGGAGCUGAAGUCAAGAAGUCUGGGGUUUACCCAUAUUUCUGACAGUAAAUAUUUGGUCAAAAGUAACCAAACCAGACCAAACUCCACUGAUGAAUGUUUGAGUACUUUAGCAUGGUGUACCCAGAUAAUAAGCUAGGUACAUAUAUAUUAUAUGAUUGGUCCUCAAAGAAAGAAAAAUGUAAUAUUUUACCCAUGUCAUUGUCUGAUUGUUAAGUAAUGUUGAA